CAGGAGGCGGGGCGCGCACGGACGAGGUGCCCGGGGCGGAGGUGGGGGCCGAGGGCCAGAGCGCGGGGCAGCCGGCGGGGCAGGGCUGCAGGGACAGUAGGGGAGGCUCGGGGUAGAGUCUGGAGAAGAGUUGCAGAGACACUCAAGUCCAGGGGGAGGGAGAAGUCGGCGCCGGCCUUAGGAAAGGCUGAGAAAUGGGAACGGAGAGACCGGGAGCGGGGGACGGGAAGGCUGAGAAAACGGGAGGAGAACAAGUGGAGAAGGACACAGAGACGAGGAGCCAGAGCUUUCACGGGAGGCAGACGGAAGGGCUCAGGCCCAGGCCAGCCUCCGCUGACAGCGAAAGGUCCUUGGAUACCCAGAGGAGCAAAUCCCGGACUUGGACUGGAGGCAGGAAGCCCUGGCCAGGGCAGCGAGACAGACCCGGCUCCCCUGGCACCUCUGAGCCCAGCCUGGCUGGGAGCACCAGAUCAGGAGGCAGCCGUGUGGUCCCCUUACCACUGCGUUUCUGACGGUUCUGGAGGAGGCGCCUGAUCCGGAUUGGGC
Molecule: long non-coding RNA, 546 nt
Organism: Equus asinus (donkey)
Lineage: Eukaryota; Metazoa; Chordata; Mammalia; Perissodactyla; Equidae
Source: Ensembl